AUGUAGAUAAGGGAAGUCGGCAAAAUAGAUCUGUAACUUCGGGAAAAAGAUUGGCUCUAAGGGUUGGGGGUGCUCACUCAUCUUCUCCCCGCCCCCCCCCCUCCGCGCCCCCGGGGCCGGCGGGCGCCUCACGGCGUCUGCUGCCCCGGCGGGUCGGGGGGCGGUCAUUCCAAGGGGGUGGGGAGCAAGAAGGCACGGGGGCCUCCGCAGCCGCGUGCGGCGGGGGCCCUUCGGACACGGGGCCCGGGCGCCUCCCUCACGGGGGGUGGCCCGGGCCACCGGCCGCUUAUAACAACCAACUUAGAACUGGUACGGACAAGGGGAAUCCGACUGUCUAAUUAAAACAUAGCAUUGCGAUGGCCGUAAGUCGGUGUUGACGCAAUGUGAUUUCUGCCCAGUGCUCUGAA
This 407-nucleotide ribosomal RNA is filed under the name Moneuplotes crassus. RNAcentral's name for it is "partial Eukaryotic large subunit ribosomal RNA". It matches the Rfam family "Eukaryotic large subunit ribosomal RNA", at positions 1898 to 2214 of the family's 3401-position model. The record is from RNAcentral. Lineage: Eukaryota; Ciliophora; Spirotrichea; Euplotida; Euplotidae.